Molecule: ribosomal RNA, 331 nt
Filed under: uncultured bacterium
Lineage: Bacteria
Description: bacterial SSU rRNA
Rfam family: Bacterial small subunit ribosomal RNA
Source: RNAcentral
UGCGCAGGCGGUCUUUUAAGUCAGAUGUGAAAUCCCCGGGCUUAACCUGGGAACUGCGUUUGAAACUGGAAGGCUUGAGUGUGGCAGAGGGGGGUGGGAAUUCCACGUGUAGCAGUGAAAUGCGUAGAGAUGUGGAGGAACACCGAUGGCGAAGGCAGCCCCCUGGGCUAACACUGACGCUCAUGCACGAAAGCGUGGGGAGCAAACAGGAUUAGAUACCCUGGUAGUCCACGCCCUAAACUAUGUCAACUGGUUGUCGGGGAAGCAAUUCCUUGGUAACGAAGCUAACGCGUGAAGUUGACCGCCUGGGGAGUACGGCCGCAAGGUUAAA